UACGGAGGGUGCAAGCGUUAUCCGGAUUCACUGGGUUUAAAGGGUGCGUAGGCGGGCAGGUAAGUCAGUGGUGAAAUCUUUGGGCUUAACCCGAAAACUGCCAUUGAUACUAUCUGUCUUGAAUAUUGUGGAGGUUUGCGGAAUAUGUCAUGUAGCGGUGAAAUGCUUAGAUAUGACAUAGAACACCUAUUGCGAAGGCAGCAAACUACGCAUAUAUUGACGCUGAGGCACGAAAGCGUGGGGAGCGAACAGG
RNAcentral lists this ribosomal RNA (253 nucleotides) under uncultured bacterium. RNAcentral's name for it is "partial 16S ribosomal RNA". It matches the Rfam family "Bacterial small subunit ribosomal RNA", at positions 524 to 776 of the family's 1533-position model. The record is from RNAcentral.